UUUCACACACACAUUCCGUUAGUCACUCACGAAAAGAAAAGACGUGGAUAUUCUUAUUUGCAUUGUGAUAGAGAUUUUCCACUUGGGGGAAAAUCUUUAAACAGAAUCACGGCCAAUAAACAUUUGUUUAUAGUUUUCAAUUUUUGUUUGAUAGAAAACUAAAUAGUGCAAGCAAGUAAAAUACAGUGUAAAAAGCUUUUCUCUUACCCUGCUAAAGGGGUGGUGAAAAACCCGUGAACACACACCAGGUAGCAGCAGUUGGAGGUGUGUAGUGCGGUAAUUGUGGAGUGAAAAGGCGCUCCGUCGUGAUGUCACUGCUUCACAUUUUUCGUUAAUUGGAUCGUUUUUUUGUGCCUUUAAAAAGCAGCGGAUGCUAUAAUUUCUUAUAUUACUGAUUUUGUUAGUGUAGCAACAAAUUAGACUGCUGUCGCGCAUGUUUAUGCCAACACAAAGCUAAGUCUUUUUCAUUAAUUUAGCUGUUGGAAGUGCAUUGUCGCAAUUCAAUUUAAUAUAAUAAUUGAGUACAAUUUAUCAAUUAAGUUGCAAUUCAUAGUGAGAUCGAGUAUACGCGUUUUAUACAUUCAACAUUCCACAGCAGUAAUUUGCGUAGACGUGUUAAAAAAAAGAUUGGCAAAAUUAGAAAAUAAAAGCACGACAUGAAAUUUUAACGAUAAAGCAUGAUACCAAAGAAAGAGUUGUGCUAAAAGCGAUAACUUCUGCAUAGCAGGAAGUGGUGGAGUUAAGCAGAGUAGAAUUCACAAAACAUACAUACAUACAUACGUCCAAGCAGCAAAAGUGUAAGCGCAAGCAAAGUGAAAUUUUAUUAUUUGGUUUAACUUGCUAAAAGAUACCGACUCAAACGAGUUAGCAACACGGCAAGCAACAUAUACACAUACACGUCCCUCCAAAAUCAACGAUUCGUAACGCUAUACAGGCGAUCACAACACGAUUCCGCCCACAAACAACCUGCCACGCCCACUGUUGAAUAACUAGCCGCCGUGUCGUCAUAUAAACACAAAACGGCCGCCGUCCAGUGCAGCACAAAGAACACAACACAACGGAGAAACAUAGUUUCGAGUAUUACAAAGUGCCACCGACAUACGGUGAACUUCCUCCCAAAAACCGUCAUACAACUUAAACACAAAUACGUUUCGUCGCAUAAUUGAUUGAUUUAAAUCCCCCCAUCCAUCCUUUCCAAAAGUUAAACACCCGUCCAUUUCAAAAACACAACACAACAAAACGUCCGCAAUAUGUCGGAAUUGGCGAAUGUGGCAACAGCCGGCAAAUCCAAUGAGGAAUUGCAUAUGGAAGUGGAGCGUCUGACGCGCGAACUAGAUCAGGCAGCUAGUGAACGUGCACAAUCAGCGCAAUAUGGUCUAUCGCUGUUGGAGGAGAAAUUGUCGCUAGAACAAAAGUGUGAGGAGUUGGAGAAUCUGUACGAUCAUGCAAAACAUGAAUUGGACAUCACACAAGAGGCCCUGGCCAAAUUCCAGACCUCGCAAAAGGUCACCACAAAAACUGGUAUCGAACAGGAGGAGUCACUGCUCACCGAAACGGCAGAACUUGAGACCACUCUAAAUAGUAAAAUACUCGACUUGGAAAAUGAGACAAAGCAAUUGCGUCACGAAUUGGAACGAGUACGCAACGAACGUGAUCGUAUGCUGCAAGAGAAUACCGAUAUUGGACGCGACAAAUCAGAUAAUGAGGCUGAGAAACUGCGCCUCAAGGCCGAGGUGAAAGAUUUGAAAUUUCGAGAGACACGUAUGCUAACGGAAUACACAGAAUUGGAGGAGGAAAACAUAUCGCUGCAAAAGCAGGUGUCGAGCUUGAGAAGUUCGCAGGUGGAGUUUGAAGGUGCCAAACACGAGAUACGUCGCCUAACCGAAGAGGUUGAGGUCUUGAACUCACAAGUGGAUGAGUUGGCAAACCUGAAGAAGAUUGCUGAGAAGCAAAUGGAGGAAGCUUUAGAGGCUUUGCAGUGCGAACGUGAGGCAAAAUAUGCGCUCAAGAAGGAGCUGGAUAGUCAUUUGAAUCGCGAAUCCAUGUACAAGAUAAGCAAUCUCGCCUAUCUACGCAGUAAUAUGGACGACAACAUAAGCGCAAAUAGCGAUGGCGAAGAGGAGAAUCUCGCCUUGAAGCGACUCGAAGCCGAUUUGACGACCGAAUUGAAUGCAACGGACGGCACCAAAUGCGAUCUCUUCUCCGAGGUGCAUUUGAACGAGCUGAAGAAGUUGGAGAAACAAUUAGAAUCGAUUGAGAAUGAGAAAAUGCUACUCACAGCGAAUUUACGCGAGGCACAAACUAGUUUGGAUAAAUCACAAAAUGAAAUACAGAAUUUCAUGGCUCGCCUAGCGUUGCUAACGGCACAUGUCGACGCCUUGCUGCAAUUGAAGAAACAAUUAGACAUUAAAGAUGAUUCCAUCGAUGCGGUGAAACGACGCAAUGACGAACAAAAUGUACGACAACAACUAUUGGAUAUACUCUCGCAGUAUAACAGUUGGUUCACGCUAUCCUCCAAAGAGAUUGAUGGUCUCAAGACUGAUUUAGUGGAACUGCAAAAGGGUUUCAACUACACCGACGCAAUGACCACGCUCCGCAAUGAGGUCACAAAUUUGAAAAAUAAACUGCUCAGCACCGAGCAGAAAUCGUUGGAUCUGCAGAGUGAUGUGCAGACACUCACAAGUAUUUCACAAAAUGCUGGCCAAAGUUUGGGUACGGCACGCUCAACUUUGGUGGCCUUAAGCGACGAUUUGGCACAGCUAUAUCAUCUCGUUUGCACCGUUAACGGUGAGAUACCGACGCGAAUUAUGCUCGACACGAAGAGCGAUGAUAUGAGCUUCGAAAACGAUUCGCUUACUGCCAUACAGUCGCAGUUCAAAUCAGAUAUUUUCACUUCCCGCUCACACACAAUUGAGGAUUUGCAGGGACUUGCUGACUCAGUUGAGAUCAAGAAGUACGUCGACACUGUGAGCGAUCAGAUCAAGCAUUUGAAGACCGCUGUCGAGCACACAAUCGAACAUAACAAGAAUAAAGUUCGCGGCGAUGUUACUGAAGCUGAUAAAUACAAUCGCGAGGAAGUCGAGGAGUUGCAAGAGCAAAUCGUACGCCUUAAGGGCUUGCUCUCACUCAAACGUGAUCAAAUCGCUACAUUGCGUACGGUCUUGAAAUCCAACAAACAGACCGCCGAGGUGGCGCUCACCAAUCUCAAAUCGAAAUAUGAGAAUGAGAAGACAGUGGUCAGCGAGACGAUGGCCAAAUUGCGCAAUGAACUGAAGAUACUCAAGGAGGACGCAGCGACAUUCUCAAGUUUGCGCGCCAUGUUCGCCGCUCGUUGCGAGGAAUACGUCACACAGGUGGAUGACCUCAAUCGCAAACUAGAAGCCGCUGAGGAAGAGAAGAAGACACUCAAUCAGCUGUUGCGUUUGGCUGUACAGCAGAAAAUUGAAUUGACUCAACGCAUGGAGGAAAUGGAAAUCGAUCGGUGGGUGCCCAUGCGGCGUUAGGCCUAAUAUAAAAAAUGAAGAGUUAAAGUUAAAUGAAAAAAAAAAUCCAAAAAAUAUUAAAAAAACAUUUAAAAAACUCUAGUUAAAAUCUAGUGCCCCCAAUCUAGUGCCCCCCAACUAUCUGCUCAGCUCGUUAUCAUAUCAAUAAUUAAGUGCGUGUGUGUGUUCGCGUUCGAAAUUUGUGCUUAGUGCUUGCUGUUCAUAGAACUUUAUAUAUUUUUUCCGUUAUGCUAAAUAUUUGCCCAAAAAGCAUAUUUUGUAUUUUUAUCGUUUAUAUCCCGUUUACCUCCACACACCCUACCAAAUCAACAACAUUAAUUUAACCUGUACGUUUCAAUUGCGUCCAACUUACGUUUAACUUUGCCAACAACAAAUAAACUUUAAGCCGCGUUCCCAAUUGUGAAACACGUUUUGCGCGUCGUUCGAUGCCACCACAACGCGGCAGCAGCGGCAAAUCAUUCUCGUCACGUCCCUCAACACGUAAUCCGACUGGCAGUAAUCAGAAUCAAUUCUAACAUAAAAUAAGCGUGCAGCGAAAAAUUUUAGCCUUAGUUUAUACACUGCUUAAGUUAUAAAGUCACUUUUGUGUAAACACACUUGUCACACUGUCACGAGUCAAGAGUCACGUGUCACACAUACACAAACACACUGUCACUUUUGAGGAAAAAAGUUAGUACGGUGUUUAAAGAGAGUGUGUAGAAGAGAGAGAGAAGACCUCUUCACAACGUACUAAAGCAUUUUGCCGCCCGUUUAACUAAAGACACUACGUUAUAUUUGAAAAGUGACCGUUAGUCCAUAGAAUUUGGUUUUCUAUUAACUAUUAGUAAUACAAGACACUAUACUAUAACGACUUUAUAAUGGGUAUUAACAUUUAUGUUUAUGCACACAGUUAUGGCUAAAUAUUGUUUAACAACAAAUUUGUUGGUAUUAAAAUGUUCGAAGAGAACAGAGAUAUGAGGAAAGCUUUAAGCUCUACUGUAACUUAUAAAGAAGCCCAAGAUUUUUCCUUGAAAUCAUUUUUACAUGCGCUAGUCUGGAUCUUAUUAACAACUCUCCAAAAAGCUCAAGUCUGCACAGCGCUUUUUGAUUAUUAUAAAAGAAAGCUCCGUAGCUUUUGAAGUAGAACUGCAUUUUUUUAAAUGUAUUUUGUAUAUUGAGCUUUAAGCAGCAAAAGCUUUAAAAAGCUCUUAAGCACAUUCGCGAAACCACAAAGUUUGAAAGAAACAAUGUUUAUUUUUAUAAGAAAUUUUUUUCAAUUUUCAAAUGUUUUCACUUAUUUGAGAUAUUUCAUUUGUGUUUAAAAAUGAGCUUUAAGCUUUUAUUUAAAUAUCAUCUAAUAAGAGCUUAAAGCUUAAAAAGCUUUCUGAACAUUGUACGAUUUUCGAAAUGUCAAAAUUAAUGUAUUCUUACGGUAGAGCUUUUAGCUUUAAACAAUAAAAGCUUCUACUAAAGCUUGAAAGUAAACAACUUCAAGAAGAAAAAAAAUUCAAGGUUUUAACUGGUCUAGAUUUAAAACACAUUUUUCAAAAGAAGCACAUUUUCAUUUGUGUUUCAAACUGAGCUUUAAGCUUUAAAUAAAAUAUCAUUUAAGAAGAAUUUAAGGCUUAAAAAGGUUACUGGGCAUUGUACGAUUCAAUAAAUGCUUACCAGAAUCGAUCAAUCAAAAGUUAGUCAGAAGAGCUUUUAGCUAUAAACAAUAUAAGCUUCAACUGGAGCUUUCAGCUCGAAAGCAACUGCAAGAAGAAACAAAUUUGAAGGCAUUAAACGAUUUUUGAAUUGUGAACCUUAAAAAAAUUUAGGAGGGCUUUAAGCUUUGAAGAAACUAAACUUCAACUAGAGCUUUGAGCUUUAAAGUUUUUUAGAAGUGCUUAAAACCUAAAAAGCGCUUCUACUUGGUAUAAUUUCGAAAAUCGAAAAUUUCAAACUAUUAAAUAAGACUUUCAAUCAGUAACAACUGAUGUAUAUAUGAUAUGCUCUAAAAUCGAGCUUUGAAGGAAUUGUGAAAUCAAAAAAGUCACAAAAAGCUUACUUAAACAAAUGUAAGAGUUCCUACACCAAGAUUGGUAGGAAAAAAAUAAAAUUAAUUUUUGAUAUAGAAAGUUCAAAGCUUGUUUUACAACAAAAAAAGCUCCAUUUUAAGCUCUAAAAGCUUUCCACUCAAAUAUUUAUAUAAUAAAUCGUACUAAAUUAUCGUUUUCAUUCAGAACUCGGAGAACGAAUACCUAUUUUACAACAAAAGCUAAAUACGAAGCUAUAAAAGCUUACCAAAGCUUGUUUUACAACAACAAAAACUCAUUACCAAACUCUAAAAGCUUAUCACUCAUACAUUUAAAUAAAAAUCGUAUUAAAUUGUUGUCAUCAUUAAGAACUUAGAGGACGUAUGCCUAUUUUACAACAACAAAAGCUCAAUAUUAAGCUCAUAAAAGCUUGCCACUCGAAAAUUUAUGCAAAAAAAUCGUACUCAAAUUCCAACUACCAACAAAUUUCGAUUUCUCUGUUGUUAAAUCAAAAAUGAAAGCAAACUGUGUGCAAUUUUGUAUUCUCCUUUAACACACAUACGCAUAGCCAUGUUGUCUCUAGACACUUGCUAUCGCCGUUUUGUGCGUCUCAACUAACUAAAUAGUAUUGUUUAAAAUGGUUUGUUACUUACAUUUUCUUAUACACUUAAGUAUUUUUAGGUGAUUAUUUCUCAAACAUAUACAUACAUACAUAUAUACACUAUUUAUAUUUACAAAUAUAAGUUCCAUUAACGCUAAACAGAAACAAGCAGCUAAUAGCAUAACACACAUAUGAUUUAAAAAAACCAAAAUUUAAAACAAUUUAAAGUGCACUUUGUAAAUUUUUGAAAAAAAAAAAUUAAAUUAAAUUAAUUAUUUGUUUAAAAAUUCAGCUGUACGCUAAAGCGCAAAAGAAAACAAAAUUACAUACAAAAUUGUAUAUUUUCCAAAUUUAAAUUAAAUUAAAACACAGUAGGCAAAUAUUAAGUUGCCAACAACAACAAAAACAAAAAAAAAAAACAA
Molecule: RNA transcript, 6523 nt
Organism: Zeugodacus cucurbitae (melon fly)
Lineage: Eukaryota; Metazoa; Arthropoda; Insecta; Diptera; Tephritidae
Gene: BicD
Gene name: protein bicaudal D
Exons: 8
Source: RefSeq, a predicted model, not a curated record